Molecule: ribosomal RNA, 364 nt
Filed under: Pseudoperonospora cubensis
Lineage: Eukaryota; Oomycota; Peronosporomycetes; Peronosporales; Peronosporaceae
Description: SSU rRNA
Rfam family: Eukaryotic small subunit ribosomal RNA
Source: RNAcentral
CCCUUAGAUGUUCUGGGCCGCACGCGCGCUACACUGAUGCGUUCAACGAGUAUAAAACCUUGAUCGAUAGGUCUGGGUAAUCUUGUGAAUGCGCAUCGUGCUAGGGAUAGACUGUUGCAAUUUUCAGUCUUGAACGAGGAAUUCCUAGUAAACGCAAGUCAUCAGCUUGCAUUGAUUACGUCCCUGCCCUUUGUACACACCGCCCGUCGCACCUACCGAUUGAAUGACUCGGUGAAAAAUUGGGACCGUGAGUCUGUUUGCUUAAUUGCGAGUGGAUUGAUGGGAACUUUUUUAAACCUCGCCAUUUAGAGGAAGGUGAAGUCGUAACAAGGUUUCCGUAGGUGAACCUGCGGAAGGAUCAUUA